Long non-coding RNA from Nothoprocta perdicaria, 775 nucleotides. RefSeq lists it as uncharacterized. NCBI's taxonomy places the organism in Eukaryota, Metazoa, Chordata, Aves, Tinamiformes, Tinamidae. The record is from RefSeq and is a predicted model, not a curated record. The transcript has 5 exons.
UGGCGAUGUUGGUGAUGCCCAGGGGCACGAGGAAGCGGAUGAGGGGCCAGUAGUUGCAGGAGCAUUCUAGAAAAGUGAAGAUUUCCUCCUCAAGAGCAAAUCAGAUGAAGAAUGACCAGUUCUCCACUAAGUAUGUCCAGACAUCUCUUGAACAAAGGAAUAAAUAAAUAAAACUGCAUGAGACUUCUGCUGCAUUAACAUUAAGUUCACCUCAGUGAUGACAACCUGCCAGUAGUGAGAAGUGCUUAAAAAAGUCUGUGCUCUACCUCAUGGGUAUUAUGAACGUAUGAAAAUGAAAGCUUUUGGAGAAGGAAUAUGACGGCUUUAGAGGCAUGAAACUCUUGGGAAGAAGAGGCAACUAACUGCUUUGCUAACAUAAGAGCAGGAGUCGUUGAAAGUUGGAGCCUACAUUCUCAAAAGGUCCUCCAUGUACUCUGCUCAGAAAAAUUCACCAUUAUCAGAGUCUUUUUUGAAACAGCGCUCUUCCAGGAGACAUCCAUACCAAAAUACCACUAGUAUAAAAUCUCUGGCACACCCAUCCCAAAGCAGAUGGGGUGAGAAGGUAGCCAGGGCCUGCUUGUGGUGUCAGUGUGGUAGACCAGCUUCCUGCCACCUGACUGAGAUGCCUAUCUUAAGGUGAAAAUUGCUCUAAUCUUUUCCUGUAGAGAGAGAAGAGACCAGCCUCUGAGGUAAUGCUGAGAGCGGCUGAGUCACUGCCUUGAGGUUCUUGUUUCUCCUUGUUCUUUAGCUAGGGAUACUAGGCAUGGUACUCAUC